GCAUAUCAAUAAGCGGAGGGAAAAGAAACUAACAAGGAUUCCCCUAGUAACGGCGAGUGAAGAGGGAAAAGCUCAAAGUUGGAACCUGUCUGGCCUAGCCAGUCCGGAUUGUAAACUAAAGAGCCGUUUUUCCAGGCAAGCCAGGCAAAAAAAGUCCCUUGGAACAGGGCAUCAUAGAGGGUGAGAAUCCCGUCUUUGGUCUGAGCGAUAUUGUCUUUAUGUGAUACGGUUUCAAAGAGUCAGGUUGUUUGGGAAUGCAGCCUAAAGUGGGUGGUAAAUCUCAUCUAAAGCUAAAUAUUGGCGAGAGACCGAUAGCGAACAAGUACCGUGAGGGAAAGAUGAAAAGAACUUUGAAAAGAGAGUUAAACAGUACGUGAAAUUGCUGAAAGGGAACCGUUUGAGGUUAGACUAGCUGGCCAGUAAUCAGUCUUGGAUUCGUCCAUGAUGCACUUGCUGGUCUUUGGCUAGCCAACGACAGUUUUUUCUGUGGGAAAAAAUAUGUAGGAAUGUGGCUCCGCUUUUUGGGGAGUGUUAUAGCCUGCUGUAGAAUACCACGGAGGAGACUGAGGCUUGCAGUGAAUGCUAUUAUGGCUUUGGAUCUGGUUGACUGUAUGGAGUUGUGGGCUGCUACUCGGCUUGCCGCGGCUUUCUGCCUCUCUGUGCAGUAUCUUCUAGUUUACCUUUAAUUCACUUAGGUCGUUGGCUUAAUGACCUUAAAUGACCCGUCUUGAAACACGGACCAAGGAGUCCACCAUAAAUGCGAGUAUUUGGGUGUCAAACCCAUAUGCGAAAGGAAACUGACUGGAUAUGAAGCCCUUGAGGCAGCAAUAUCAUCCGGCUUUGACGUUUUAACUGAAGAGACCGAGAUUGAGCAUUUAUGAUGGGACCCGAAAGAUGGUGAACUAUGCCUGAAUAGGGUGAAGCCAGAGGAAACUCUGGUGGAGGCUCGUAGCGAUUCUGACGUGCAAAUCGAUCGUCAAAUUUGGGUAUAGGGGCGAAAGACUAAUCGAACCAUCUAGUAGCUGGGUUUCCUGCCGA
This 1038-nucleotide ribosomal RNA is filed under the name Spinellus fusiger. RNAcentral's name for it is "LSU rRNA". It matches the Rfam family "Eukaryotic large subunit ribosomal RNA", at positions 38 to 964 of the family's 3401-position model. The record is from RNAcentral. Lineage: Eukaryota; Fungi; Mucoromycota; Mucoromycetes; Mucorales; Phycomycetaceae.